Molecule: long non-coding RNA, 517 nt
Organism: Myxocyprinus asiaticus (Chinese sucker)
Lineage: Eukaryota; Metazoa; Chordata; Actinopteri; Cypriniformes; Catostomidae
Exons: 3
Source: RefSeq, a predicted model, not a curated record
CUCGGACAGAACUGGGAGUGUGUGUGAACUGUCUGUGUGUUUAUGUGGGUGUUUUGUGUGUGUACAUAUUCUGCAAUUCUAUGACAGUGUCUGCUUAUCCAACUGUGCCAAUAUGAGAAUAUGUGAUUUGCUUACAAGGUGACACUGCAUCAGUCUUGGCGGACAUGUUUGGCAGCUUGUCAAUAGAGGAAAGACUAGACGUAUGAAGAUGGUGGAAUGCACAGCUUUUUACAAUUUACGAUUCCAACUGCCUGGAAGCACAAACCAUCAGCCCAGAGGAGAGAACAGUCUGGAAAAUCAAUGACAAGGAACAUUCUCUCAUGGUCUCUGUCUAGCACCUGGUAAUAAGUUGACACCCUUACAUCCCCCUUCGUGUGAGACACCAGAUUCAGGUUGCUGAUGGAUCUGACUUCUGCUUUAACCAGCCUCUCCUCCUCUCUUCUUUCCUCUCCUUUGUCAUCUUACCAUUAAAGGGGUCAUGAAAUACUAUUUUUUAUAAUUGUAUUAUCUUCCCUGA